This 253-nucleotide ribosomal RNA is filed under the name uncultured bacterium. RNAcentral's name for it is "partial 16S ribosomal RNA". It matches the Rfam family "Bacterial small subunit ribosomal RNA", at positions 524 to 776 of the family's 1533-position model. The record is from RNAcentral.
UACGAAGGGGGCUAGCGUUGCUCGGAAUCACUGGGCGUAAAGCGCACGUAGGCGGCUUUCUAAGUCAGGGGUGAAAUCCUGGAGCUCAACUCCAGAACUGCCUUCGAUACUGGAGAGCUUGAGUCCGGGAGAGGUGAGUGGAACUGCGAGUGUAGAGGUGAAAUUCGUAGAUAUUCGCAAGAACACCAGUGGCGAAGGCGGCUCACUGGCCCGGUACUGACGCUGAGGUGCGAAAGCGUGGGGAGCAAACAGG